UACGGAGGGUGCAAGCGUUAUCCGGAUUCACUGGGUUUAAAGGGAGCGCAGGCGGAUUGGUAAGUCAGUGGUGAAAUACCUGAGCUUAACUCGGGAACUGCCAUUGAUACUAUUAGUCUUGAAUAUUGUUGAGGUAUGCGGAAUGGGUCAUGUAGCGGUGAAAUGCAUAGAUAUGACCCGGAACACCAAUUGCGAAGGCAGCAUGCUAAACAAAGAUUGACGCUGAGGCUCGAAAGCGUGGGGAGCAAACAGG
RNAcentral lists this ribosomal RNA (253 nucleotides) under uncultured bacterium. RNAcentral describes it as "partial 16S ribosomal RNA". It matches the Rfam family "Bacterial small subunit ribosomal RNA", at positions 524 to 776 of the family's 1533-position model. The record is from RNAcentral.